This 497-nucleotide ribosomal RNA is filed under the name uncultured bacterium. RNAcentral's name for it is "partial 16S ribosomal RNA". It matches the Rfam family "Bacterial small subunit ribosomal RNA", at positions 28 to 507 of the family's 1533-position model. The record is from RNAcentral.
GAUGAACGCUGGCGGCGUGCCUAAUACAUGCAAGUCGAGCGAACAGACGAGGAGCUUGCUCCUCUGACGUUAGCGGCGGACGGGUGAGUAACACGUGGAUAACCUACCUAUAAGACUGGGAUAACUUCGGGAAACCGGAGCUAAUACCGGAUAACAUGUUGAACCGCAUGGUUCAACAGUGAAAGACGGUCUUGCUUUCACUUAUAGAUGUAUCCGCGCCGCAUUAGCUAGUUGGUAAGGUAACGGCUUACCAAGGCAACGAUGCGUAGCCGACCUGAGAGGGUGAUCGGCCACACUGGAACUGAGACACGGUCCAGACUCCUACGGGAGGCAGCAGUAGGGAAUCUUCCGCAAUGGGCGAAAGCCUGACGGAGCAACGCCGCGUGAGUGAAGAAGGUCUUCGGAUCGUAAAACUCUGUUAUUAGGGAAGAACAAAUGUGUAAGUAACUAUGCACGUCUUGACGGUAACUAAUCAGAAAGCCACGGCUAACUACGUG